UUGGUGCAAAAGUAAUUGCGGUUUUUGCUAUUGAAUGUAAUGGUGAAAACUGCGAUUACUUUUG
Molecule: microRNA precursor, 64 nt
Filed under: Pan troglodytes (chimpanzee)
Lineage: Eukaryota; Metazoa; Chordata; Mammalia; Primates; Hominidae
Description: miRNA (ENSPTRG00000043465.1)
Source: RNAcentral